ACGGAAGGCAGCAGUGGGGAAUAUUGCACAAUGGGGGAAACCCUGAUGCAGCGAUGCCGCGUGGAGGAAGAAGGUUUUCGGAUUGUAAACUCCUGUCUUAAAGGACGAUAAUGACGGUACUUUAGGAGGAAGCUCCGGCUAACUACGUGCCAGCAGCCGCGGUAAUACGUAGGGAGCGAGCGUUGUCCGGAAUUACUGGGUGUAAAGGGAGCGUAGGCGGGACUGCAAGUCAGAUGUGAAAUGCCGGGGCUGAACCCCGGAGCUGCAUUUGAAACUGUGGUUCUUGAGUGAAGUAGAGGCAAGCGGAAUUCCUGGUGUAGCGGUGAAAUGCGUAGAUAUCAGGAGGAACACCGGUGGCGAAGGCGGCUUGCUGGGCUUUUACUGACGCUGAGGCUCGAAAGCGUGGGUAGCAAACAGGAUUAGAUACCCUGGUA
Molecule: ribosomal RNA, 434 nt
Filed under: uncultured Ruminococcus sp.
Lineage: Bacteria; Bacillati; Bacillota; Clostridia; Eubacteriales; Oscillospiraceae
Description: bacterial SSU rRNA
Rfam family: Bacterial small subunit ribosomal RNA
Source: RNAcentral